RNAcentral lists this ribosomal RNA (253 nucleotides) under uncultured bacterium. Its description in RNAcentral is "partial 16S ribosomal RNA". It matches the Rfam family "Bacterial small subunit ribosomal RNA", at positions 524 to 776 of the family's 1533-position model. The record is from RNAcentral.
UACGAAGGGGGCUAGCGUUGCUCGGAAUCACUGGGCGUAAAGCGCACGUAGGCGGCUUUUUAAGUCAGGGGUGAAAUCCUGGAGCUCAACUCCAGAACUGCCUUUGAUACUGAGAAGCUUGAGUCCGGGAGAGAUGAGUGGAACUGCGAGUGUAGAGGUGAAAUUCGUAGAUAUUCGCAAGAACACCAGUGGCGAAGGCGGCUCACUGGCCCGGUACUGACGCUGAGGUGCGAAAGCGUGGGGAGCAAACAGG